CUGCAGCUAGUUAACCUGACUUGUCCACCUCCCUGAUGGGGGCUUAGUGUGCAGUGUCUGCAAAAUGAAGAUUCCCUGGUUGUGUAUACACAUCGUUUCUUGAAUGUGUUGCUUUAAGGGUUCUUGAAGACAUUA
Small nucleolar RNA from Aotus nancymaae (Ma's night monkey), 135 nucleotides. Its record names the gene SNORA70. It matches the Rfam family "Small nucleolar RNA SNORA70". Rfam says of the family: snoRNA U70 seems to be exclusive to mammals and is a member of the H/ACA class of snoRNA which contain H (ANANNA) and ACA box motifs. H/ACA box snoRNAs are involved in the conversion of uridines to pseudouridines (5-ribosyluracil) a constituent of structural RNAs (transfer, ribosomal, small nuclear, and small nucleolar). NCBI's taxonomy places the organism in Eukaryota, Metazoa, Chordata, Mammalia, Primates, Aotidae. The record is from Ensembl.